AGCAGCCGCGGUAAUUCCAGCUCCAAUAGCGUAUAUUAAAGUUGUUGCAGUUAAAAAGCUCGUAGUUGAAUUUCGGGAUUAAUAUGUUGGUCGUGCCUUGGUACGUACUGGCAUUAUUGAUUCCUACCUUCUGAAGAACCUCGAUGUCAUUAAUUUGGUGUCUUGGGGAAUCAGGACCGUUACUUUGAAAAAAUUAGAGUGUUUAAAGCAGGCUCGCGCUUGAAUACAUUAGCAUGGAAUAAUGAAAUAGGACGUUUGAUUCUAUUUUGUUGGUUUCUAGGAUCGACGUAAUGAUUAAUAGGGAUAGUUGGGGGCAUUAGUAUUCAAUUGUCAGAGGUGAAAUUCUUGGAUUUAUUGAAGACUGACUACUGCGAAAGCAUUUGCCAAGGAUGUUUUCAUUAAUCAAGAACGAAAGUUAGGGGAUCGAAGACGAUCAGAUACCGUCGUAGUCUUAACCAUAAACUAUGCCGACUAGGGAUCGGAUGAUGUUAAUUUUUUAAUGACUCAUUCGGCGCCUUAA
This 520-nucleotide unclassified non-coding RNA is filed under the name uncultured Glomus. Its description in RNAcentral is "SSU rRNA". It matches the Rfam family "Eukaryotic small subunit ribosomal RNA", at positions 569 to 1091 of the family's 1831-position model. The record is from RNAcentral. Lineage: Eukaryota; Fungi; Glomeromycota; Glomeromycetes; Glomerales; Glomeraceae.